This is an RNA transcript of Chenopodium quinoa (quinoa), 3524 nucleotides long. It is a transcript of the gene named protein FAR1-RELATED SEQUENCE 9-like, with no coding region annotated. NCBI's taxonomy places the organism in Eukaryota, Viridiplantae, Streptophyta, Magnoliopsida, Caryophyllales, Amaranthaceae. The record is from RefSeq and is a predicted model, not a curated record. The transcript is spliced from 4 exons.
AUGAAAUCUCACCAAGGUUAUUUUUGGAGGGAUUUUCUUACCUUUCCCCUUAAAAUGGGUCUUCUUCGUACCAAAACAAAAAAAAUUUGUUACUAUAAACGUGCAACAAUUCUAUUUUUCAUGUUUUCCAAUGCAUAAUCGUUUGUUAUUUAUUAGCGUUUGAAGUUGUUUAAAUUUAUGUUUAAAAUAAAAUACAAUCCCCUUUAAUCUUAUUCGAAGUUUUCUUUCUAAACGUAGUUCGAAAAGACGUCACCAAUUUUUCUCCCUUUACCGGCACAACAGUUAGGUAUCAGCGAUCGAAGAAAUUCUCCGGUGAUUUAGGCUUUGGCGCGCAGCUUACCCAGUGUCCAUUAUCUAAAAUUUAUUAGAAUUUUACCUUGGAUUACUUCAUAUAUUUUUCUUAGGGUUUGUUGAUUUAUCAGUUUACCUGGUAAUUUGAAUCUUAUUUUCUUUCACUGUUUUAUAUGUUUAUUGUUGUUGUUUUAUGAUUAUUACUUUAUGAAAUCAUCUUGCUUCAUAGCCAAUUAUACAUAAUGUAGCAUAUUUUGGGGGAAUUUGGAAAAACUAAUGAUUUUUGUUUAAACAUAAUGUUCAAUUUUGGGAAAGUUUUUUCCAUCUAAUUUUGAUUUUUCUCAGUUAGAUUAAAUUAUCCUGCUGUAAUUCGAAGAAAUUUGAAAAUUUUAGUGAAUGUUCGUUUCAAAUUUGCCAAUACAUGUGUGUUUUGUUUGAUAAUUAUAAACUUAUUUUGGGUAAGUUUUGUACUUUUAAUUUUGCUUUCCUGCAUCAAUGGUUAGAUUUUCGUGGUGUUAUUUUGAAGGAAAGUGAAAAUUUAGCUGAAUGUUGGUCCUGAAAUUGGCCCUGGUAUAAAAUUAGACCCUUUUUGUACUGAGUAAUGAGAUGACUAGCAUAUCACUGCAUACAAGUACUUGGUUAUUAGUUUAACCCUGAUAAGGAAAAAAAAAAAGAAAGAUAUUGUUUCAUUUGUGUGAAAAUGGUUACCAUUGCAGUGAUAUUUAUGAACAUGAGUAGGCAAAGGUCCCUGGGCGGUGGGAGUCAGCUUGUAUUGGAUUACCUGAAGCGUAAACACACUGAGAAUCCUAAUUUCUACUACGCAAUUCAGGGCGAUCAUGAUCCAUUAACUGCCAAUAUUUUCUGGAUUGAUGCUACCUCCCGGAUUAACUAUACCUACUUUGGUGACACUGUGGUUUUCGACACCUCAUACUGUAGCGAUGGCUAUAAAGUACCCUUUGCAACAUUUACAGGAUUAAAUCAUCAUGGACAGCCCACACUUUUUGGCUGUGCUUUAAUGCUGGAUGAAUCAGAGGCUGCCUACAUUUGGCUGUUCCAAACAUGGCUUCAUGCGAUGUCAGGUCAAAGCCCAGUCUCGAUCACAACAGAGCCUGCUAGGUUUGUGCAGAUGGCAGUAUCUCAAGUUUUGCCCAAUACCCGUCUUCGUUAUUGUAAAUGGAACAUGUUUAGAGAGACAGAAACCCAUUUGGGUCAUGUGUAUCAGUCACAUCAUACAAUUGAGGUAGAGUUCAGGAAGUGUGUUGAUGAGAGUGAGACGAUUGGGGAAUUUGAAUCAAGGUGGGGAACACUUUUGGAGCAGUAUUAUCUGAUGGAUGAUGAAUGGAUGCGGUCAGUUUAUGAUGCUCGGCGUAUGUGGGUGCCUGUUUACAUGCGGGACACUUUCUUCGGCGAGCUCUAUAGUGAUGAAAAUGAGGGUAGAAAUAUAUACUUUGAUGGUUUUAUAACUUCUGACACCACAUUACAAGGGCUGAUCAAAGAUUAUGAAAAAGCUGUUGGGAGUUGGCAUGAGAAGGAACUACAGGCAGAUGAUGAUACGAGUAACACAAUGCCUAUGCUGAAGACCCCAUCACCAAUGGAGAAACAGGCUGCUAAUGUUUACACCAAGAAAAUAUUUAUGAAGUUCCAAGAGGAGCUUGUUGAGACCCUCGCUAAUACUGCUACAGAACUAGAGGAAUCAGGAGGAGUCACCAUGCUUCGUGUAGCUAAGUUUGGGGAAGAUCAUAGAGCUCAUAUUGUUACUUACAAUUCUCUAGAAACAAAUGCUAGCUGUAGCUGCCAAAUGUUUGAAUUUUCAGGUGUCAUAUGUAGGCACAUAUUAGCAGUUUUCAGAGCAAAAAAUGUUCUUACUCUUCCUUCAGAUUACUUAUUGAAAAGAUGGACAAGAAAUGCCAAAAGCGGAGGUUCAUUGGACGAACAUGCUGUCAGGGAACUAACCAAUUCCCGAGAGUCUCUGACUAUUAGAUAUGACAACCUACGGCAAGAAGUUAUUAAAUUUGUGGAAGAAGGUGCAAAAUCUAUUCAGGUUUACAAUGUAGCUAUGAGUGCCCUGGAGGAAGCUGCAAAAAAGGUUGCUUCUGUGAAGAACCAAGGUCAUGGAGUUUCACAAGGUCGCUCUCUGGCAAAUGGUGACAGUUCAGUGGCAUCCGUCCAACCUGCAGAAGAGAAGGUUAAGAAAAUCCAAGAGUUGACAGCUGAGUUGGAUAUUACAAACAAGCGGUGUGAGGUCUAUCGUGCAAACUUGCUAGCAGUUCUGAAAGAUAUGGAGGACCAGAAGUUGAACCUUUCUGUUAAAGUCCAGAAUGCAAGACUUAGUUUGAAAGAGUGAGUUGCCAAAAAACAAGCCAAGAAUUUCCUGUAACUUGCUAAAGGUUCAACUAGCCUUUAGUCUCUGGCCAUCAUUGCUUGCUAAAGGUGCCCUCAGAGAACAAGUAUCCCGGAGCUUCAUACUUUCACUCUAUUUCUUCCCACACAAGGUUUUGAAAGUUAGGAUAUGAGAGUUUGACCACAAACAAGUUCAAAUCAAUAAAGGUGAAGUAUCUUAUUAGCCUUAAAAAGUUAUAAGGUAAUCUUUUGUAUUUUGAUCCCCACUUGUCCGAUUGUUUUGUUUAUUUUAGAGUUUGUCUGUAAAGGGGGCCACUUUCCAAAUACUUUUGAAGACCCUGAAAUCCUACAUCAGGGAUAAGAGUAUGUACUGUACAAUGUACACUGCCUGGUGGAACUUUUUACAUUCUGACAAAUAUGUAUAAUAGCAUAGGUUGCAUUUUGUUAGUUCUAGCAUAGCAUAUCCGUCUCAAGUUCAUAAGGUGUUUGUAUCAAUGUGUUCCCAAGACAUGAUCAAGUCACUUUUGCCACAGAAUAGGGCUUGGAAUGUUAUGCUAAUUUGGUUGAGUUUUGCUGAGUUUCUUAUGCUGUAAACAAAAAAUAAAGUAUCUGGACAGAUUACAUGCCUGCAUAGUGAACUUCCACUUUAAUUCAUGAAAAGUUAUUUGAUAUGUUUUAUUUGGUUCUGUAUCAAGUUUACGAGCUGUAUUAUUGAAAUGUUUUAUUUGGUUCUGUAUUUAGUUUACGAGCUGUAUUAUUAUGUCUUUAUUUUCUUACUAUCAACUAAGGGUUUUUUACUAAUGUUUUAAUUCUAUGCAGGUCCUGCAACUUUAGUUGUGUGGGUGGGGUUUGGAAUAUAAAGCAAAUUUUCUAGUUGGAAAUUGUUGAGACAG